Molecule: non-coding RNA, 25 nt
Filed under: Mus musculus (house mouse)
Lineage: Eukaryota; Metazoa; Chordata; Mammalia; Rodentia; Muridae
Source: RNAcentral
UGAGUGACCUCCUAGUGCAUCCCAA